This is a long non-coding RNA of Brachypodium distachyon (stiff brome), 241 nucleotides long. RefSeq lists it as uncharacterized. The transcript has 3 exons. Lineage: Eukaryota; Viridiplantae; Streptophyta; Magnoliopsida; Poales; Poaceae. The record is from RefSeq and is a predicted model, not a curated record.
UCACGUGCUGAUCUGCUUCGUCAUUCCCAGGACCUGGAGCUCAAGCGCUGCUCUACUUUGGUUUGAUCAACUCCCCUAUUUCUCAUGGAAGUAAAUGGUUGAAUUUGAUCAAUUUCUCUAUUUGUCCAUGGAAGAAGAAACUAUGAAAGAAACAGAGGUGGCAGAGGAGAUUAACAGAUCAAGCAAUGAUCCUAAUUUAAAUAGGUUUGGUACCUCAUGUUGGCAUGGAAUUUACAAAUUC